Molecule: ribosomal RNA, 253 nt
Filed under: uncultured bacterium
Lineage: Bacteria
Description: partial 16S ribosomal RNA
Rfam family: Bacterial small subunit ribosomal RNA
Source: RNAcentral
UACGGGGGGGGCAAGCGUUGUUCGGAAUUACUGGGCGUAAAGGGCUCGUAGGUGGCCAACUAAGUCAUACGUGAAAUCCCUCGGCUUAACCGGGGAACUGCGUCUGAUACUGGAUGGCUUGAGGUUGGGAGAGGGAUGCGGAAUUCCAGGUGUAGCGGUGAAAUGCGUAGAUAUCUGGAGGAACGCCGGUGGCGAAGGCGGCAUCCUGGACCAAUUCUGACACUGAGGAGCGAAAGCCAGGGGAGCAAACGGG